Molecule: transfer RNA, 74 nt
Filed under: Malacoplasma iowae DK-CPA
Lineage: Bacteria; Bacillati; Mycoplasmatota; Mycoplasmoidales; Mycoplasmoidaceae
Rfam family: tRNA
About the family: Transfer RNA (tRNA) molecules are approximately 80 nucleotides in length. Their secondary structure includes four short double-helical elements and three loops (D, anti-codon, and T loops).
Source: Rfam by way of RNAcentral
GCGACUAUGGUGAAGUCGGCUAACACACCUGACUGUGACUCAGGCAUUCGCGGGUUCAAGUCCCGUUGGUCGCC